RNAcentral lists this ribosomal RNA (253 nucleotides) under uncultured bacterium. RNAcentral's name for it is "partial 16S ribosomal RNA". It matches the Rfam family "Bacterial small subunit ribosomal RNA", at positions 524 to 776 of the family's 1533-position model. The record is from RNAcentral.
UACGAAGGGGGCUAGCGUUGUUCGGAAUUACUGGGCGUAAAGCGUGCGCAGGCGGCUUCUCAAGUCAGGGGUGAAAGCCCAGAGCUCAACUCUGGAAUUGCCUUUGAGACUGGGUGGCUUGAGUACGAGAGAGGUGAGUGGAAUUCCCAGUGUAGAGGUGAAAUUCGUAGAUAUUGGGAAGAACACCGGUGGCGAAGGCGGCUAUCUGGGCUGAAACUGACGCUGAGGCGCGAAGGCUAGGGUAGCAAACAGG